GAUGAACGCUGGCGGCGUGCCUAAUACAUGCAAGUCGAGCGAACGGACGAGAAGCUUUCUUCUCUGAUGUUAGCGGCGGACGUGAGAGUAACACGUGGAUACCCUACCUAUAAGACUGGGAUAACUUCGUGAAACCGUAGCUAAUACCGUCUAAUAUUUUGAACCGCAUGGUUCAAAAGUGAAAUACGGUCUUGCUGUCUCUUAUAGCUGGUUCCGGGCUGCAUUAGCUAGUUGGUAAGGUAACGGCUUACCAAGGCAACGAUGCGUAGCCGACCUGAGAGGGUGAUCGGCCACACUGGAACUGAGACACGGCCCAGAAUCCUACGGGAGGCAGCAGUAGGGAAUUUUCCGCAAUGGGCGAAAGCCUGAUGGAGCAACGCCGCGUGAGUGAAGAAGGCCUUCGGAUCGUAAAACGCUGUUAUUAGGAAAGAAAAGAUGUGUAAGUAUAUGUGCAGAUGAUGACGGUACCGAAAGAGAAAGCCACGGCUAACUACGUG
This 497-nucleotide ribosomal RNA is filed under the name uncultured bacterium. RNAcentral describes it as "partial 16S ribosomal RNA". It matches the Rfam family "Bacterial small subunit ribosomal RNA", at positions 28 to 507 of the family's 1533-position model. The record is from RNAcentral.